Molecule: non-coding RNA, 75 nt
Organism: Parelaphostrongylus tenuis
Lineage: Eukaryota; Metazoa; Nematoda; Chromadorea; Rhabditida; Metastrongylidae
Source: the annotation of a GenBank genome assembly
GCGUCAGUUAGUGUAACGGAUAAAGCACGCGCUCCUGGAUAGAGCGAGAUGUGGGUUUGAGUCCCGCCUGACGCG